Molecule: ribosomal RNA, 412 nt
Filed under: Bradyrhizobiaceae bacterium Ellin7136
Lineage: Bacteria; Pseudomonadati; Pseudomonadota; Alphaproteobacteria; Hyphomicrobiales; Nitrobacteraceae
Description: bacterial SSU rRNA
Rfam family: Bacterial small subunit ribosomal RNA
Source: RNAcentral
AGCGAACGCUGGCGGCAGGCUUAACACAUGCAAGUCGAGCGGGCGUAGCAAUACGUCAGCGGCAGACGGGUGAGUAACGCGUGGGAACAUACCUUUUGGUUCGGAACAACACAGGGAAACUUGUGCUAAUACCGAAUAAGCCCUUACGGGGAAAGAUUUAUCGCCGAAAGAUUGGCCCGCGUCUGAUUAGCUAGUUGGUAGGGUAAUGGCCUACCAAGGCGACGAUCAGUAGCUGGUCUGAGAGGAUGAUCAGCCACAUUGGGACUGAGACACGGCCCAAACUCCUACGGGAGGCAGCAGUGGGGAAUAUUGGACAAUGGGGGCAACCCUGAUCCAGCCAUGCCGCGUGAGUGAUGAAGGCCCUAGGGUUGUAAAGCUCUUUUGUGCGGGAAGAUAAUGACGGUACCGCAAG